Molecule: ribosomal RNA, 390 nt
Filed under: Leptopecten latiauratus
Lineage: Eukaryota; Metazoa; Mollusca; Bivalvia; Pectinida; Pectinidae
Description: partial 12S ribosomal RNA
Rfam family: Bacterial small subunit ribosomal RNA
Source: RNAcentral
ACUUUGCUUCCUUGUGGCUGCUUGGGUACUACGAGCAGGUGCUUAAAACUCAAAGAACUUGGCGGCUUGUUAACUACCUAGGGGAAUAUGUGCCUUAAUCCGAUGGUCCCCGACAUAUCUUACUAAGUCUUGAAAAAAUCAGUUGGUGUAUUGCCGUUGUCAGCCUGUUGUUGAGCAAAAAGAAACAGGCUUAAAGGAAUUUUCUGGUGAGCAGAAAAUGAGCCUUGAAUUCAGGUCGUAAUACUGCCUAUGGCUUAGGGAGCGGGUGUUACAAUUUAAAUUUGAAAGGACGGAUUCUUUUAUGAAAAAAAGAUGAAGGUGAACUUAGAAGUAAGGAGAGAUUAACAUGCUUUUCUGAACAUGAAUCUAGCUUGUGUACAAACUGCCCGU